GUCUACGGCCAUGCCACCCUGAACAAGCCCUAUCCCGUCUGAUCUUGGAAGCUAAGCAGGGUAGGGCCUGGUUAGUACUUGGAUGGGAGACCACCUAGGAAGACAAGGUGCUGUAGGCA
Molecule: ribosomal RNA, 119 nt
Filed under: Pteropus alecto (black flying fox)
Lineage: Eukaryota; Metazoa; Chordata; Mammalia; Chiroptera; Pteropodidae
Source: RNAcentral